Oreochromis niloticus (Nile tilapia) is the source of this 1833-nucleotide long non-coding RNA. RefSeq lists it as uncharacterized. NCBI's taxonomy places the organism in Eukaryota, Metazoa, Chordata, Actinopteri, Cichliformes, Cichlidae. The transcript has 2 exons. The record is from RefSeq and is a predicted model, not a curated record.
UGUGAGCCAGUGUCACUCUCGCUCUCCGCACACAUAAUAUUCUCAUGUGACAGGAGAAAGGAGGCCUCCAAAAAUAACCCCGUUACCCUCAGCUCCUUCAGACAGAAGGUUAUGUCCGAGUCCACUCCGGCUUGAAAGUAGUCAAACUCGUCUGGGUGUAAGGACAUCUCAGUGUGCAUCAUCUUCAUGUGAUCUGUCACACAGACUGACUCUCAGGGCGGACAUCGACAGAGUGACUUCCUCCUGAGACGCGUGGAAAUGCUUCACCAUAUUGCCCAGAAGCCUGAAGAAAGAGGAAAACACACGCAGGCAGCUCUGGCUGCUAACUGAUAACAGGUUUUUUUUGUCAAUAUAUAUUCUUGGUUUUGUCUGAAACACAAAACCAACAGGCAGCCAGCAUGUAUUGAUUGUAGAAAAGAAGAGUGAGGCUCUAAUGCUGAAAUGCCAACCUGGCAGGAGCUUUCAGCACAUUGGGACAGAGGUGUGAAGCAAACACUGCCUGCAGCGCCUCACUUUCCAGGAAACGCACAUUGUAGGUUUUUGUUAUGCCUAACUCAAAAACAGAGACAUUUAGAGCACAGUGCCACCAUGUGUUCAAAAUAUAAAUUGCAUGCACACCUAUGAAAUAUGACAUUUUGUCAUUGAUGCCAUUUCCUACCGUGUCUGCAGAAAAACUGAAUGAUCACUCGGUCACUGCCAGUGCUGACUGAUAUCUGACAUUGUUUCACACUGCGCUCAAUAGAAGUCGAACAACGGAAAAGUGGCAGCACAGACUUAAAAACAAAGAGAUGCUGUUUAAUCAUAAAGUCUUGAAAGAACGGCAUGAUGUGUAGCCCUAAUUUUACUGAACCGUCACUUGUGACCAUGAUGUUUCUGCCUACAAAUGAAAAAUCAGCAAUGCCGAUAUACCUUCAUUACCAGUUUGCAUUUGAUUGGUCCACUGUCCUGCUGCCUGACUGAAUCCAGACUGUACUGCUGGAAGAAGAGCGGCGAGAAGAGGAAGCAGGCGUAUGCAGAAUGAGCAGAAUUCACUGAUCUCAGGGCCAACUUUCAGAGGGAGAGAGAGAAAUUAGUGUGGAGGAAGUAAGGUGGUGAACACCUUAACACCUGGAGAUUAUCGAUACAGUGUAUACACACUGGUCACUUUAUUAGUUGCACCUGUUAAACUGCUCAUCAACACAAAUAUCUAAUUAGCAAAUCACAUGACAACAAUGCAACGCUGAAGUUCAAAUCAAUGAUCAGAAUGGGUGAUUGAAGUGACUUUGAAGGUUGCAUGCUUGUUAAUGCCAAAUGUGCUGGUGUACUGUGAUUUGACUGUGACACUGUAGUGUUUACAGAGAAUGGUACAGAAACAAGGAAAUAUCCUGCGAGCAACAGUUCUCUUAAUUAAUGUAUGCAGAGGAGGAUCUCUGCUAGCACCACACACUGAACCUUGAAGCAGAUGUUCCAAGCUGAGAACAGGAAACUGAGGCUAUAAUUUACGAGGGUUCACUGUAUUUGACAAUAAAAAUGUUGCCUGGUCUGAUGAGUCUCGAUAUCUGCUGCAAUAUUCAAAUGGUAGGGUCAGCAGCAUAAUUAACAUGAAAGCAUGGCUCCCUCCUGGCUUCUGUCAACAAUCCAGGUUGAUGGUGGUGGUGUAAUGGUGUAGGGGAUAUUUUCCAUGCCCCUGAGUACUAAAUAAGCAUGGUUUAAAUGCUACAGCCUACCUGAGAACAUCACAAUGUUCAACCGCAACUCGAUCCAAUAAUAGAGCUUCUUUGGCAUGUGGUGACUUGAUAUUAUUCAAUCAUUUUCGACACAUUAUAGGUCAACAAGCCAUUUACAACAGUUUAA